Molecule: long non-coding RNA, 288 nt
Filed under: Mytilus galloprovincialis (Mediterranean mussel)
Lineage: Eukaryota; Metazoa; Mollusca; Bivalvia; Mytilida; Mytilidae
Source: RNAcentral
CUUGGUGGUCUUGCAGUUGCUUGAUAGAUGAAAUUAGUGCAGGCGGUGUUUAACUUGAAAAUUGACAUUUGUUCCUUUUCUGUUAAAAUAUGGUGUUUAUCGGUAAAAGCAAAUAGUUACUCAAGUAGUCAGAAUGUUUUCAGGUAUAUGUAGGAUCACAUAUAUUCAUGCACUGUAAUUUUAUGAAAAUUCUGCUGAGUGAUGACAUUCAAACACACACAUAUAACCAUAACAUCCUCUUAUCCUGAUAUACAUGUAAUAUUUGUCACUGGACACUAAAACACAAAU